Molecule: long non-coding RNA, 2155 nt
Organism: Chelonia mydas (Green sea turtle)
Lineage: Eukaryota; Metazoa; Chordata; Testudines; Cheloniidae
Exons: 2
Source: RefSeq, a predicted model, not a curated record
UUUAGAUCAGCAUGCUCAUUCGUCAUCAAGAUACCAUCGGAGAGGAUUAUAUACCCAUUCUUCUCAUCCAGGGAUUCAUCAUUCUUGGAUGCACCAUUUCAUCUUUGCAGGCUUGUCGUUCCUCCCCAUGAAAAGAGGAACCCACAGAGCAGCUCAUAGUGGAGUGUGGAGCUCUGAUCUCUAGUGUUCAGCUCCAGUGAAUCAAUAUUUGCUGAUAUUGAAAACUUGACACUGUAAUACUAUUUAAGCAUUCAGAAACUCUCAGGUCUCUUCUGGUAAACCCUCACCCAAACCACAUGCACUCAAUAGCAUUGACUUAUGUUCUCACUAAAGCAUAUGCAAUUUCAAAAAUAUGGAUAAAAAGAGAACAUCUCUGUUCACAAACCUAAAUCCUUAUCUCUGUAGCUUAAACUCAAAUGGCAGUAGGUUUCAGCAAACAAAACUAUACUUUGAACAUAAUAUCAUUGGAAAAAGGACCAUAGCUCCAAAAGAUAUGAAACAUCCAAAAACAGCUAAACUUUCUACUAAGGGUAAAAAGACAAUGGGAACAUAAGUGAUUAAACUUCUGUGAAAAAAUUGAAGGGGACAUUUUAGGAUUAAUUGAAAAUGAUGCUUAUUAUGGCAUCAUGUACAACCAGGAUAAAUCUGGAUGUAGCCCACUUAAGUCAAUGGAAUUACACUGCUGUAAAACUGAGAAGAUUUAGGCAUAGAGUUGUCGAAUCAAAUUAAGGCUUGAGGGGUUUUGUUUUUACAUCUAGAACUUUUAAAAGUCUAUAAUGGACUUGACAGGUCUGUAUUUAGAUGCAGAGACUUUCACUUCUUUAUUGGCUCAGCUAUUGUCUGAGACUGGUUGGUGAGCUAUGUGGAAUAAGUCAAUGAUCUCAUUGUGGGUUCCAGUAGAUCAGUGUUCAUGAUCACAAUAAUUUAUGAACAGUCUCACUGCUGGUAGUCUUAGCAGAGAGACCAGGUGCUAAAUAUGAGGGUGAACUACAAUGCCAGUCCUAGAGUUGGUCCUCACAGAUCAGGGUUGAGGCAUCGAGGCUGAACAAUAUGGGGAAAGGUUGUGCUGCUGCUGUCUGUGCAUUAUCAAUUCCAUAGCAGAUGUCAGCCCCAGGACUGACAACCUGGCACUUUCUUGAGCACUAAAUUCAAAUAAAAUAAGUGGGUACAUAGAGUAUUGCUGCAAUGAUACAACUUCACAGUAUACUAACUCUUUUACCGCCUUCUGAAAAAUAUAAGUGCGUAUGAUUGCAAAUGACUAAAUAUGGGAGUCUUAUUCCCAUAAAUAUUAGGACAGUACAUAGACACUUGGGCUGUGCAUUAAUAUUUUAACACACCAUGUGUCUUGGGUAUAAAUUCAAGCAUAGCACUCCACCUCACAAUCAUGGAGGGAAAUGCUUCCCUUAGGUAACCAGUGGACCCACCACAAGCUGCAUCUUCUCUAACCUUCUCAGAAGUACCUUCAUCACCAGAAAGUGAUUGCUAGAACAUUAUACCAGAAUCAGAGUGACUAGUGUUAUGAUAACUGUUCAACCUCUAAAGUGGUAGUUCUAGAAAAGGCAUAAUAAACACCAAGUUGUAUUGAUAGGUAAUAAGGGAAGUUGUCAGAUAUUGUUCAAUAUUACAUUUCAUGACCAUUUAUUUCAGCGCAACAGAGAUCUGGAGGAAAAGUUUAUAAACAGUAAAGUCAGGGUUUUUUCCCCCUCUGCCUGAUUGCUGCUUGGAAAAACUAAGUUGCCAAGUCUGCCAGUGCAUAGUCUAUUUACUUCAAGGCACACUAUCAUCCUAUACCAAAUGCCAACAGAUUCAUACAGAUGUGGACCUUAAUUGCAAAGUUAAGACCUGGAUCUGGUGUUUUAGUUCAGGCCCACUGCCAUAUAUGUGCUGAAGACCUUAAAACGCUAUUGAUUUGAUGGUUUUCUGGAUCUCUUAGGAGGUACUCAGCACCUUGCAAAACCAGGUUUCAUUCUGAGGCACUUAAAGGUUUUAUCUUUAGAUAAACACUUCAGACUGUACCGCUGUAUAGCAUUCCUAUAGCACAGUGGCAGCAGUGUGGUAAUGCUGUAUGUCACAAAAUAUCCUGUGUUCUAGAAAAUUCAUCCCAAUGUCACGGUUUUGACUUGAUAUUUCCAUUAAAUUAAGUUACCUUGACAAU